Long non-coding RNA from Taeniopygia guttata (zebra finch), 756 nucleotides. RefSeq lists it as uncharacterized. The record is from RefSeq and is a predicted model, not a curated record. NCBI's taxonomy places the organism in Eukaryota, Metazoa, Chordata, Aves, Passeriformes, Estrildidae.
UUUUUUUUUUUUUUUUUUUUUUUAUGGUACUGCCACAGUUACCUAACAAACCCUCUCUGCCUGCACAAAAUCAGAGGAUGCUUAAGUUUCAGAUGUUGCUUCUGACUUGCAUAUUUUCUCAUGGCUUUCAAUUUUCUUUUCUGAAUUUGACAGGUUUUCAGCUCCAGUAGGAGGCUGACCAAAGCUGAGUGUCUGCAUUGCUGCCAUCAAAAGCUCAAGCUUUCAAGACUCAGGGAUCCACACCUUGGAUAUAUCAGCCCAGCCCGUCAUCUGCUGGUUUUUGGAAUUCUGUCAUUUGCACUGGAGUCAGCCUGGACCAGGCUUCCAUCUGCCCAUGAAGUAAUGUGCAGUCACAGCCCAGCUGAGUUUGCCUCGUUUUGUUGUCAGCAGCAGCAUUCUGAAGAUCACAGAGAUUUAAAGCGGAGUGGCAGCUGCUGUGCCAUCUCUCACCUGGCACAGGGCAUGUCUAAUCCACUCACUAAUAACCAAAUGUCAGCUGCAUGAGCCUAGAUUUGAACAAGCAUUCCUGUCCCUUGCAAUGCUAAAAUAGUAGCUACUACAAGAGUAGGAGUUUUCCUCACACACAAAAGUAGGAGAAGGGAUUAGAGACAGCCACAAACAAGGCAUAGAUGAAUAUAUGUUCCACCAGGAGCCCACCAGAUAUUUGACCUCAGGUUCACAUUUCUGUAAACAUGUAUCUUGGCAAUGUAUCAUUCAGUUCCUCAAUAUGAUGCAAUAAAAGCCAUUUCUCAUUCA